UCUCUUUUGAAUGGCCGCGGUAUUUUGACCGUGCGAAGGUAGCAUAAUCAUUAGUUUUUUAAUUGAAAGCUUGUAUGAAUGGUUGGACGAGAUGAAUGCUGUCUCUUUUUAAUAAUUAGAAUUUUAUUUUUAAGUAAAAAAGCUUAAAUUUUUUUAAAAGACGAGAAGACCCUAUAAAGCUUUAUAUUUUAAUAUUAUAAAAUUUUUUAUUUGGUUUUGUAUUAUUGAUUUAUUAGAUUGGGGAAAUUUAAAGAUUUGAUUAAUUCUUUAUUGUUAAUUUCAUUGAUUUAUGUUUAUUUGAUCCUUUAUUAUGGAUUUUAAGAUUAAGUUACUUUAGGGAUAACAGCGUAAUUUUUCUGGAGAGUUCUUAUCGAUAGGAGAGUUUGCGACCUCGAUGUUGGAUUAAAAUUAAUUUUAGGUGUAGAAGUUUAUAAAAUUUGGUCUGUUCGACCAUUAAAAUUUUA
This 464-nucleotide ribosomal RNA is filed under the name Prionohydrus ubercornis. Its description in RNAcentral is "partial 16S ribosomal RNA". It matches the Rfam family "Bacterial large subunit ribosomal RNA", at positions 1917 to 2598 of the family's 2925-position model. Lineage: Eukaryota; Metazoa; Arthropoda; Insecta; Coleoptera; Noteridae. The record is from RNAcentral.